CACGGACCGCACGAACGUUAUUCGGUAUCACUGGGCUUAAAGGGUGCGUAGGCGGCUUGGCAAGUUGGGUGUGAAAGCCCUCGGCUCAACCGAGGAAUUGCGCUCAAUACUGCCGAGCUCGAGAGAGACAGAGGUAAGCGGAACUAAUGGUGGAGCGGUGAAAUGCGUAGAGAUGUGGAGGAACACCAGUGGCGAAGGCGACUCUUUGGUCUGUAACUGACGCUGAGGCGCGAAAGCGUGGGGAGCAAACAGG
Molecule: ribosomal RNA, 253 nt
Filed under: uncultured bacterium
Lineage: Bacteria
Description: partial 16S ribosomal RNA
Rfam family: Bacterial small subunit ribosomal RNA
Source: RNAcentral